This 253-nucleotide ribosomal RNA is filed under the name uncultured bacterium. Its description in RNAcentral is "partial 16S ribosomal RNA". It matches the Rfam family "Bacterial small subunit ribosomal RNA", at positions 524 to 776 of the family's 1533-position model. The record is from RNAcentral.
UACGGAGGGUGCGAGCGUUGUUCGGAUUUACUGGGCGUAAAGGGCGCGUAGGCGGUUUUAUAAGCCAGAUGUGAAAGCCCACGGCUCAACCGUGGAAGUGCAUCUGGAACUGUAAGACUUGAGUACUGGAGGGGAGUGUGGAAUUCCCGGUGUAGAGGUGAAAUUCGUAGAUAUCGGGAGGAAUACCGGUGGCGAAGGCGACACUCUGGACAGAUACUGACGCUGAGGCGCGAAAGCGUGGGGAGCAAACAGG